GUCCCCCCAGUGCCUAGCAUCACCGGCAACAAGUUCAGCGCUGUCCGACAAGGUGUCCUGCAGGGACAACCUCCGUCGACCUGUCAUCGAACUUCAGUAUGCGUGCUUUGUUCUUUGAAACUGAAUUCAGACUUUGAGUACUACUUUUAUUUGAAAGAAAAUAUGUGCGUGAUUCCACAACUUAUGCCAAAAUGCAUUGCAUAGCUUGGUAUACACGAAUUGCAAUCUGAACGUUUUUCUCUGUGUCGUUGUCCUGCUUUCUGGUUCUAUGUUAUCUGUCAUCUUAUAUCUCUGCUUUCUGCUUUCUGGUGCCUAAACCGAACCGUCGAAUCUGUAAAUAUGUACCAGUACCAGUUUGAACCAGGGGAUGGUUGGUUGUUUAUGUGUGCUGUUAAUGAGUUCAUUCUGCUCUCUAACUCAUUGAAUUUUUGGAUGUCAAUCAACAAGCUUCCCCUGACUGACUGAUUGAUUGAUUUUUUUGGCUGGUGCUAGCUUAUGUGUCUUGUGUCGGGCGAGGGAGAGGGACGAUGUGCAUACGGGGUUGCAGUGCAGAGGCGCCAGUGGUUUCAAGUUGCAGGGCCGGGAGAAAUUUCACGGCAACCAGGAGUAACAAUAUUUUUGGUUACUUGGGAAUACGAUGAUGUUCUGGUGACGUGGAACAUGCUGAGAUUUGGACUUCAAUCCUUGAUUGUGCACGCGUAUGCAUGCUUCACACCCAUGCUGCAAAUAGAUUUUCAUUUUCGAAGAAAGGAUUUCCGAAACGAGUAGAAGACUAAUAACUUCUACGACAUCAAAGAUCUCUGAGAUUUUAGAUUGCAGGGCCGCCGCCGUUGCUGAACACAAACGGGGCUUGAAGCAGGCCAAUCUCCGAGGUGGACCGGGCAACGGAUCGUGGAGAGGCGCCCAAGGAUUUUUUUUUUGCUUCUAUUGAUUGUGCCAUCCAAUUGGUUUAGACUUUUCACCAUUGCUAAUUACUAGGGGCGUAUGGGUGCCGGACCUGGUAAGUGGCCUGCACGCUACGCUCUUGCCAAAUAAUUUGCAACCAUGCUUGCACUGAAUUUUUAUUUAUUUCCCGAUGUACCUUACAACAACUUCAUGAUGUAGCACUACUUUGCACUAGCAUGCACCUGCAGAUAUAAUAUGGAAAAUGACUGUCAUUUAGAAUUACUUCCAAGCUGCAUCGUCUAUCUGAAUGUCAGCCCGAAACCACUGGUUGGCACACAUAAAAUUUUGGAAGUUGUAUGUAGUCCUCCUUCUUUGAGCCAAACUUUAUGUCUAUGAUUGAUGAAUCAAUAUAAUUUUUUUGUUCAAGCUGGAUCCAAUAGAACAUGGCUUUGGUGGUAGUUCCCAGUACAUGUAGAAUUUCUAUCCUUCUAUAUGUGUACUGAAACAAUUUAAGGUCACUAUGUAGUAAAUUCAUCAUACUAUAUGUCCACGGAAACCACUUAAGGUCAAAAGUGACAAGUAGAACCACAUGCAUCGUUUUGGGUAGUCUAACUUGACUCUAUUACUUUUAUCUCAUAAAUCUAUGAUCGGUGCGUUUUUUACGUGGAAUAUAUUCCGGAGCGGUUGCUGGUGUUAGGGAUGCAUUUAUAUAUGGGAUAAUUGCAUUAGCUAUUUCAUACGAUUGGCAUGCAAGGAUUUUUCUUCUUUAGUAUAACUCUCUGUAUUUUUAUUGUUUCUUUUAUUGUUUCCAGAAUGCAUUUCCACAAUAGAGAUGGGAAAUGGAUACAUCGUUGUCGUCCUUCAGUGAGCAGCCGAGGAGGAGCUCCUCCAUGCUGAUGAUGUGGAAGACAGAUACCCUGUCCGCGACGCCUGGUUCUGGCCUCAUAUACAUUGACUUCCUAUGUCAUCAGCAAAUGCAGUGGAGAAGAAGCCGGUUCACCACAUGAUCAUUUAAUUUGUUAUUGUUUUUUAACUAUUCCCUGUUGCAUGUAUAAUCAGAAAAAAUAAAACUCCUCCUUUCGGCCCAUACUAGGAGUCUGGAAGUGAUACUUUUGUGAGGAGUGCUGGAACAUGACUCGAUCAAGCGAGACAGAGAACAAUGGAUGAAAGAACGAGAUCAGAAAAGGGAUUCACUCCUGACCACCUCAUACAUAUAUACAUAUCUCUUGUAGCUAUAUAGGGCUCUUUUCGUAUUCUAGGAAAUUUUAAAAUUAUAUUUUACUAGGGAUGUAAGUAUCAGAGGCUAGAUAUGUGAUCUAGAGAUUUUAGACUUUCAGGAUUCAACCAUCAGUUGUCUUCCUUGAAUAUUUAUUUAUUUUUGUAGGGCAAUAUGUUUUUUUAAUCCUUGAAGCGCCAUUCAGAACUUAUGAUCGUGGUUGUCAAAUUCCUGUGAAAUAUAUACCUUUGAUCUCAGUUUUAUAGGGAAAUUAACAUGAUCUCAUUUUUAUCAUGCUGACAAUAUAUUAUGUUAUACCUUUGAUUUUGGUAAUGGUAUGUUUUCCCAUGAUUGCUGCCAUUUUUUUGUCCUACAUGUGUCCGUGCGUUGGGAUAGUAUGAAGAAAAGUUGCAGCUAUCCAUACAUCAUUAUUUAUGGCAGAAGGGAAAUCUACUGAAUCACAGUCACAUUUCCUAAAACUCUCGAAUUCCAACUUAACGGUGUUGAUGACCAUGAUGAAACUGUGAAAUAUUAAGCGUGAAAAUAUUGUUGAUUUUGAUUUAAAAUGGCUAAAUUGGAGGAAAGCAUUUCUGCUACAUUCAUCGGCAAUACUGCACCAUAUACUAUAGAAGCUUGGGCCACUAAAUCAGCUGUUUCUAAUGGAUCUUCUUGGACUCAACAGUAUCAGUCUACUUCCCAGGCAUGUGGUUUAUUUUAUUCUUCAGCUCAAUGGAAAACCAUGGCAAGUUCUGUUUUACCUUUAGGGUGUUGUCAAAAUGAUUUCAAUGAGACCAAUUAAGUGAAUAGCCUAUGGAAAAAUGAUGACCUGUUGUUAAAAUGAAAUAAAAACAGAUAAACAGAAAAAUGGUGAUCUAUUGUUGAUUGUCUUCAACAGAAACAAACCUGUUCAUAGUUUUCUUGUGUUUUUUCUUUGAUGUGACUCUUUGCCUGACAUGUUGAUGUUACUAUGUAUCCCAUAUUGGAUUUCACAUAAGGAAUGUCCAUCCCUGAAGCACAACCUCGCGUACAUGGUUAAGUGGACCAGACUAAGUCCGGAAGAAGAUUGAAAAUUUCAAACAUGAGAAUGACAACUACAGGAAGACUAUAAGACUUUAUAUUGAUUCUUCUUGUAAAAUCACUAGAAACGCCUAGGGCCAACUUUAUAAUGAUUUUUUUCUAGACAGGAGCGCCAAGUGAUUGAGUCAUUCAUCGCUAUGGACGUGAAUAGCUGACAAGGGCUACCUUGAUCAGAAUCGCUCGAUAAACCAGUCCUUCCAGAAAGACAAGCAAAUCCUACCAGCAAAAUCAUAUUACAAAUAGACAGGACACAAGGCAUCCCAGACCACACAAGCAAGUAAAUGAUCGAUAUAGAGGUUUGAAUGAUUGAGCCAUACAAUAUGGGAAUACAUGCUACAUGCUAAACAAGUUAGACGGAUCAAAGUAAUGAUGGUCAAUAAAGACGGAAAAAUCAUGGCACGCAACAGACGAGUGAUCGAGUAUAAUGAACUUUUUAUAGUCAUGGAUUAGUCAUGUGUUAAACAAGUUCUGUUCAUGGAUUAGUUAUUAUCAAGCCUGCUGUUCUUUCUAUAGUCAUGUGCUAUUUUUUCAAUUGAACACAUUGAAGUUCCUAUAGAUUUUCAUGGUUUAUGCAAAAUAGCUGAGCCUGGUUGUUUUAUUCAUACAUAUUCAGGAUUGUUAGAGUCUAGAAUUCGUCGGUUUAUGUCGUGGAGAGAGCAGUAGUGUUGUUCAUCUUCUGGUUUUGAUAUAAUUACUAACAUUUAUUCAUUUUAAAGAUUAGUGGAUUAGUGCAUGCUAACAAACCCUGUACUGUCAAAGCAUUGUUCCAAUGUCUCUUAAAAUAUAUUUUUUCAUAGAGGGUCGUUCUGACAAGUGUGGUAGCAUGCUGAUCCAAUAAAAGACCGGCGAAGACAAGAUCAAGUUCCGCCACUUCUGCUUUGAAGAGAUUGCUACCAAGCUGUACCUCAGCCUCAAGGACAAGAAUGACUCCAGUUUGGGGUUCAACAUGCUGCUCGCAAAUCCUAAUACAAUAUUUGAGUCUCACCAUGUUGCUUCCAUUAUAAAAUGUGGCUUCGUGAUGGCAGUAUUGCCAACAUUGACCUCAUCGAGUCCACCUAGAUUAAUAAGCCUGGGAUCAAGGAUGCAGGUCCCUAUCACAUUCAGGCACAUAUAUCCUCAUAUGCAGUCUGAUAUAUUCAAUGGUAGAUCCACCAGGUAUACCAUCAAGGUUAAAAUCAACAUGAAUAACUCCUUUGUGUAGGGCUAAUAACUUCAGGUUCAGUGGGAGGGAAACAAUUGUGUAGAAUGCCCUAUCGUUUGAUGUGAUAUAUGCCCAAGAGAUUAGGAGUCCUUGAUUGUAAUAUGUGCCAAUUCUUAAAGAAAGCAAGGAGUGAAGUAGAAGCUUCACCAUUUGAGCACCAAGGACGUAUCAUUGACUACAAUGUUCAUCAGGUUGCUUAGAAGAGAUAUGAGCAAAAGUAUUAUCAUUUGUAAA
Molecule: non-coding RNA, 4613 nt
Organism: Aegilops tauschii subsp. strangulata
Lineage: Eukaryota; Viridiplantae; Streptophyta; Magnoliopsida; Poales; Poaceae
Source: RefSeq, a predicted model, not a curated record